ACCUCCUGUCCAGUGGCCUGCAACAUAGGAACAAAACAAUAAAAUUCCACAUUCUAUGUUUUGUGUGCGAUGCUCCUGCAAAGGCCUUUGUGAAGAAUGUAAAACUUUGCACAGGCUAUUAUGGGUGUGACCGGUGUGUGCAGAGGGGUGAGUGGUAUGAGAAGGUUACUUACCAAGACACAGAGGUGGUGGCUCGUAGUGACGACUCCUUCCGCCAACAGACACAGGGCGAGCAUCAUCAUGGUAGCACCCCGCUUUUGGAUUUGCCCAUAGACAUGAUCAGUGCAUUUCCCAUCGAUUACAUGCACCAGGCAUGCUUGGGUGUAAUGAAGAGGCUUCUCUUCAUGUGGUGCAGAGGAGUGAAGGGCCUGAAGAUGUCGGCCACCCAAAUAGAGGAGGUCAGCAGCAGGCUCACCAACCUCCGUCCACACAUCCCUUCCAGCUUCGCUCGCAAACCAAGAGAUCUUAAAGAGCUUGAGAGAUGGAAGGCAACGGAACAUAGGCAGUUUAUGUUAUAUACAGGAAAGAUUGUGCUGAAGGGGGUCCUUAAAGAUGAAUUUUUCAGCCACUUCAUGACAUUCAGUGUGGCAAUGAACAUACUUGUAAGUCCAGCAUUGGUCGAGCAACACUGGAGAUAUGCUGAUCUCCUCCGAUUCUUUGUUGAGAGAGGCCGAGAACUUUAUGGUAACCAGUUUCUGGUCUACAACGUGCACUCAAUGUUGCACAUUGUGGAGGAUGCCGUGACCUUUGGAGGAUUGGACAAUUGUAGCGCUUUUAAAUUUGAAAAUUGUCUCAAGAAAAUAAAGAGGAUGGUAAGGAGUGGAAGAUGCCCCCUGUCACAAGUGGUGAAAAGGCUUGAGGAAUGUGCUGGACAGCCAAUGGAGCAUGGUAGGCAGAGGUCCAAUUCUUCUUUUAUUUUGAAUCGCCGCGAAUGCUGUGAGGUCAUAGAGGAGAGGGAUGGAAGCCAGCUGUGCCGUGUAUACCAGCACCCAGAACCACUUUUCAGUGUCCCUUGUGACUCCACAUUAAUCGGAGUACUGAAGUACAAGAACAAUGACACCCUUUUGAGAUGGAUCCAAAAAGACAACCUGAAAAGAAAGGCAAUCAAGAUUCCUGUUGGGGAAAAAAUCCUCUUCAUGGCCAUUCUUCAUGACAUUGCAGUAUGUUGUCAUUUGCUCAGUGUAUUAUCAUUGCAAUUUCUUAUACAGACACAAUAAUUCUUUACUGUAUUAAAUUAACCUCUCUGUUCUUGAUUACAGAAUGUAUAGCAUCGUCGAAUUUUUGGGGGAAAGGACUGUUGGCAUAGUGGCCAGUAAUUGGAUUAUAAAAGAGGGAGAUAAGACAUGCAGCUACUGGCCACUCCACAAGCCCACACAGAGGGCAAAGGACAAAGAUUUGCUCGAUCCUAAAACCUGGCUAAAAAGGCCAAUACAAAUAUUUUCCUCAACAGAUGAUUGGGAUCAGGCCGUCAGGAGGAACAAGAGGGCGGAGACAAAGUCCUGUGUGGAGACAGGAAAUGAGGACAAAGGGAGGCGCAUCAUCGUCAAACCCCAAAAAUUUAUUCACACCGGUAUAUCUGCACAUCCUUGUGUACUGUAUUAACUCAGUGUUAAAAGUGCAAGCAGCAAUUCUAAACAAUGUGUAAACAUGUAACACUGUUAUUUACGUUCGGCUAAUAUGAUUCUGUUCAGGUGAAAAGAAAACAAAGAAACGAAAUGGGAAAAAGGCAGGACAAGGUCCACAUUUCAGGACUUCCCUUCCUCCUCCACCCCAGAUAGAAUCCCCCAUUCCACGGCGUAGCCCACUACAAAUAUCUUCACCCCCUGUGACUGAUGACGAUUACUCCCCUCCUUCACCGGCAAGAGACGUUUUUACAGAAAAUGAUGGUAAAGUUAUGUAUGGGAAUGAUGACGAAUGAUGAUGACAUAACAGUAAUUCUAUGAGCCAAGACAACAAAGAGUUUGAAACCAAAAAAAUUACAUUGAAUUAUUGUUUUGUACUUUCUGCAGAUGAUUCAAUCGCAUCUUCAUUUGAAACGCCAUUGCCUAUCUCUACUGGGGACGGUAAAGUGGCGGGUGGAGAGGGUGGUUAAAACCAAA
RNA transcript from Gadus macrocephalus (Pacific cod), 2099 nucleotides. RefSeq lists it as uncharacterized. The record is from RefSeq and is a predicted model, not a curated record. NCBI's taxonomy places the organism in Eukaryota, Metazoa, Chordata, Actinopteri, Gadiformes, Gadidae. The transcript is spliced from 4 exons.